UACGGAGGGUGCGAGCGUUGUCCGGAAUCACUGGGCGUAAAGGGCGCGUAGGCGGCUCAUGAAGGCUGUGGUGAAAGUCCGGGCUCAACCUCGGAUCGGCCGUGGCGACUCGUGGGCUGGAGCACUGUAGAGGCGGGUGGAAUUCCGGGUGUAGCGGUGGAAUGCGUAGAGAUCCGGAAGAACACCAGUGGCGAAGGCGGCCCGCUGGCAGUGGCUGACGCUCAUGCACGAAAGCGUGGGGAGCAAACAGG
Molecule: ribosomal RNA, 251 nt
Filed under: uncultured bacterium
Lineage: Bacteria
Description: partial 16S ribosomal RNA
Rfam family: Bacterial small subunit ribosomal RNA
Source: RNAcentral